This 468-nucleotide ribosomal RNA is filed under the name uncultured bacterium. RNAcentral describes it as "partial 16S ribosomal RNA". It matches the Rfam family "Bacterial small subunit ribosomal RNA", at positions 28 to 507 of the family's 1533-position model. The record is from RNAcentral.
GACGAACGCUGGCGGCGUGCUUAACACAUGCAAGUCGAACGGAAAGGCCCUGCUUUUGUGGGGUGCUCGAGUGGCGAACGGGUGAGUAACACGUGAGUAACCUGCCCUUGACUUUGGGAUAACUUCAGGAAACUGGGGCUAAUACCGGAUAGGAGCUCCUGCUGCAUGGUGGGGGUUGGAACGUUUCGGCGGUUGGGGAUGGACUCGCGGCUUAUCAGCUUGUUGGUGGGGUAGUGGCUUACCAAGGAUUUGACGGGUAGCCGGCCUGAGAGGGUGACCGGCAACAAUGGGAAUGAGAUACGGACCAGAAUGCAAGGGGAGGCAGCAGUGGGGAAUAUUGCAAAAUGGGCGGAAGCCUGAUGCAGAAACGCCGCGGGCGGGAUGACGGCCUUCGGGUUGUAAACCGAUUUAGACUGUGACGAAGCGUGAGUGACGGUAAUGGGUAAAGAAGCACCGGCUAACUACGUG